AUUGAACGCUGGCGGCAGGCCUAACACAUGCAAGUCGAGCGGAUGAAGGGAGCUUGCUCCUGGCUUCAGCGGCGGACGGGUGAGUAAUGCCUAGGAAUCUGCCUGGUAGUUGGGGAUAACGUCCGGAAACGGGCGCUAAUACCGCAUACGUCCUGAGGGAGAAAGUGGGGGAUCUUCGGACCUCACGCUAUCAGAUGAGCCUAGGUCGGAUUAGCUAGUUGGUGGGGUAAAGGCCUACCAAGGCGACGAUCCGUAACUGGUCUGAGAGGAUGAUCAGUCACACUGGAACUGAGACACGGUCCAGACUCCUACGGGAGGCAGCAGUGGGGAAUAUUGGACAAUGGGCGAAAGCCUGAUCCAGCCAUGCCGCGUGUGUGAAGAAGGUCUUCGGAUUGUAAAGCACUUUAAGUUGGGAGGAAGGGCAGUAAGUUAAUACCUUGCUGUUUUGACGUUACCAACAGAAUAAGCACCGGCUAACUUCGUG
This 484-nucleotide ribosomal RNA is filed under the name uncultured bacterium. RNAcentral's name for it is "partial 16S ribosomal RNA". It matches the Rfam family "Bacterial small subunit ribosomal RNA", at positions 30 to 507 of the family's 1533-position model. The record is from RNAcentral.